Molecule: unclassified non-coding RNA, 298 nt
Filed under: Hevea brasiliensis (rubber tree)
Lineage: Eukaryota; Viridiplantae; Streptophyta; Magnoliopsida; Malpighiales; Euphorbiaceae
Source: RNAcentral
CAAUCCGUUCGAUCCGAACCGCCGCCUCUCCUCUUUCGGCUGCGCUUGCGGCCGGCACACGAGCGAAGCCGAGCACGAAGCCGCGCUCCAGCUCCAGGCCGAGACCCCACAAAGCGACGAGCGGCGCUACGAAGGCGUUGUCGCCUCCGCCGUCAUGCGCGCGAUGUUUCCUCAGGAUGCCGCGCGCCGCACAUUUCUGAAGUCGGUCGGCGCGGCAACAGCCGUCGCCGCCGUCUCACAGUUCUUCCCCUUGAAGACCGCCACCGAAGUGUUUGCGCAGGGCGCACCGCUGGAAAAA